Long non-coding RNA from Melitaea cinxia (Glanville fritillary), 137 nucleotides. RefSeq lists it as uncharacterized. The record is from RefSeq and is a predicted model, not a curated record. Lineage: Eukaryota; Metazoa; Arthropoda; Insecta; Lepidoptera; Nymphalidae. The transcript has 3 exons.
CUAAUGGGAGUCUUUGUCCCAUUAGAUACUAGAGUGUUUUUUGGGCAUUUCUGCAUAUUUAACUCAUUUUACGAUUUUUUGUAAGAUACGCCCUUGUUCCACCGAAGGUGCGAUAUUUUCUAGUUGUAUUUGUAUAU